GAUGAACGCUGGCGGCGUGCCUAAUACAUGCAAGUCGAGCGAACAGAUAAGGAGCUUGCUCCUUUGACGUCAGCGGCGGACGGGUGAGUAACACGUGGAUAACCUACCUAUAAGACUGGGAUAACUUCGGGAAACCGGAGCUAAUACCGGAUAACAUAUUGAACCGCAUGGUUCAAUAGUGAAAGGCGGCUUUGCUGUCACUUAUAGAUGGAUCCGCGCCGUAUUAGCUAGUUGGUAAGGUAACGGCUUACCAAGGCAACGAUACGUAGCCGACCUGAGAGGGUGAUCGGCCACACUGGAACUGAGACACGGUCCAGACUCCUACGGGAGGCAGCAGUAGGGAAUCUUCCGCAAUGGGCGAAAGCCUGACGGAGCAACGCCGCGUGAGUGAUGAAGGUCUUCGGAUCGUAAAACUCUGUUAUCAGGGAAGAACAAAUGUGUAAGUAACUGUGCACAUCUUGACGGUACCUGAUCAGAAAGCCACGGCUAACUACGUG
Molecule: ribosomal RNA, 497 nt
Filed under: uncultured bacterium
Lineage: Bacteria
Description: partial 16S ribosomal RNA
Rfam family: Bacterial small subunit ribosomal RNA
Source: RNAcentral